UGGGCAACCCACCGAUUCGUGGGGGAUAGCCGGCCCAACGGCCGGGUAAUACCGCAUACGCUUGUAAGGCCUCCUGGUCUAACAAGGAAACCUCCGGGGCCCCAAAUCGAGGGGCUCGCGGCCUAUCAGCUAGUUGGCGAGGUCACGGCUCACCAAGGCGACGACGGGUAGCUGGUCUGAGAGGAUGGCCAGCCACAUUGGGACUGAGAAACGGCCCAGACUCCUACGGGAGGCAG
This 236-nucleotide ribosomal RNA is filed under the name uncultured bacterium. RNAcentral's name for it is "partial 16S ribosomal RNA". It matches the Rfam family "Bacterial small subunit ribosomal RNA", at positions 118 to 351 of the family's 1533-position model. The record is from RNAcentral.